UGGGGAAUAUUGCACAAUGGGCGCAAGCCUGAUGCAGCGACGCCGCGUGCGGGAUGGAGGCCUUCGGGUUGUAAACCGCUUUCGUUCAAGGGCAAGGCAGGCUUUCGGGCCUGUUGAGUGGAUUGUUCGAAUAAGCACCGGCUAACUACGUGCC
This 154-nucleotide ribosomal RNA is filed under the name uncultured bacterium. RNAcentral describes it as "partial 16S ribosomal RNA". It matches the Rfam family "Bacterial small subunit ribosomal RNA", at positions 355 to 509 of the family's 1533-position model. The record is from RNAcentral.